Molecule: ribosomal RNA, 293 nt
Filed under: uncultured bacterium
Lineage: Bacteria
Description: partial 16S ribosomal RNA
Rfam family: Bacterial small subunit ribosomal RNA
Source: RNAcentral
GUGUCAGCCGCCGCGGUAACACGUAGGGAGCAAGCGUUGUCCGGAUUUAUUGGGCGUAAAGAGCUCGUAGGCGGUUCCGUAAGUCAGGUGUGAAACCUCCAGGCUCAACCUGGAGACGCCACCUGAUACUGCGGUGACUGGAGUCCGGUAGGGGAGCGUGGAAUUCCUGGUGUAGCGGUGAAAUGCGCAGAUAUCAGGAGGAACACCAGCGGCGAAGGCGGCGCUCUGGGCCGGUACUGACGCUGAGGAGCGAAAGCGUGGGUAGCAAACAGGAUUAGAUACCCCGGUAGUCC